CACCGAAGCAUCAACUAUCUUGGAACUCUGCCAACUAGAACCUCGGCCUCAACUGACACAUCCAAACUAAUGGCUGAGUGUCUUUUUUAGCAGCAUCAAGCAACUCCUUUACAAUACCACCCAAAGUAAUUUUCCUGAAGAAAUUCUCCUUGUAUCUAACUUCAUUCAGGUUCUUGGGGCUUGCCAAAUAGCCAGCAAUGUGACCUUAACUUGGUCAGUUGACAUCUCUGGUCUUAAGUUUCCUAAUCUGCAACAUUUGAAGGUUUAUUUUCUAAACGUUUUUACUUUAGUACUAAUUUCUGUGAGACAAUCAAGCUAUUCAAUGUUAGGUUGAGGUAUGUAAAUCAUUCCUGCCAGCCUUUGUACGAGGUGGUUCUGGUAUCACUGUGGCCCAGCAUGUGUCUGUCUAUCAGUGUUGGCAGAUAAAGAUGAACAAGAUGGAGGGGUGCAGGAUGCUUGGUGAAUACAGAACAUACCACCUGUGCUUUGGAACUGCCUUCCCCACUGUCAUGGCAUGCUAGAAGGGGAUGGAGACCUAGAAAUCGUUCAGACCCUCACUAGUUAAAGUGUGGUCCGUGCACCAGCGGCAUCAGCAUCACCUGGGAACUUGUCAGAAAUGCAGCAUCUCAGCCUCCACCCCAGACCUCCUGACCAGAAUCCGCAUUUUAACACAGUAUGCAGCCGCUGAGACAAGUGAUGUCACCUGCCAAUACUGUAGAUUGAAUAACCAGGGAAGGCUGAGGAAUGCAAGUGAAUGUAAAAACCACCUGGAGGGAAGCAUUGCAGCAAGAAAGGAACAGCAAGUGCAGAGGCCUGAGGCAGAACCAGCAGGGAAAAUGCUUUGAGGUUCCAUGAAAACCUGGAAGAAAUAUUCCUGAGGACCAUCCAACACCAUUUCCCUGAGAGACAAGCUGUAAGUGCUGUUCUAGUUACAGAUCCGAGUCCCUGGUACAUUGAUAUCAAGUAAGGGUGCAUGCAGCUCAGAAGGCAGUUUCCAUUACACUGGACAAGAGUGUGGCUGCCUGAGUCCUAGAACUGCAGUGGCUUCUGCUGACAAUGUGAGGAGUAGCUGCCCUGUCCAGAGUGUGGCCCCGCACGCUGCCCCCUCCCCUGGAGGGACUGAAGAGAACAGCUUGGAGCAUGCCCUUCCCUUUCCCUUAUCUCGCCCACUAUGCUAAUGCUGCUCAUCCCUCAAGAUCCGAGUUAUUCCUCCUCAAUUCAAUACACACCAAUCAACUGCCCUGUGCUUGGUCCUGUACUUUAUAUCCUUGAUAUGGUUUAAUUUUCAAAACAAAACACCUUGAGGUGGGUAUUAUCACUCCCAUUAACAAACAAGAAGG
RNAcentral lists this long non-coding RNA (1340 nucleotides) under Homo sapiens (human). Its description in RNAcentral is "HSALNT0315329". The record is from RNAcentral. Lineage: Eukaryota; Metazoa; Chordata; Mammalia; Primates; Hominidae.